AUGAAUUAUCUGACUCACAGUCCUUCAAUUUCUUCAGGUGGACAGUGAGACUGCACCUCCUACUAGCCAACCAGAUGAGCAGCCCCAUGCCCAGGAGAUGUUGUCACAUGGCAGCACACCCACCAAUCACAACACAGACUGCUCGUUUCAUCAGCCAAUCAGCUCAGAGCAGGCUGUGCCUCCAGCUGGCAAUUUAGGCCCUCUUCACAUCUACAGUCCCCAGACAGUUUUUGUUAGUUUGCUCAAUCAAUUCGGAUGGGAUGGCGGCGAGAAAAAAGCACACGAACUCCAAAAAGAAUCACUAAACAACAUCAACGUGCCUUACCCUCAGUCUCCCCCCGUCCAUCUGUCUGAGGAGGAAAGGAGCGGAGAAAACGAUUUCAUCUUCUUCCCAUCUCAGGAGCAAGGUAAAGAGUGCCACAUAUCUAAAGAAGAGGUGCUGUGAGGGAUAACGGAUUAUUUGUGUCCGUCUUCUUCCGUACUGUUCGACUGCUGUGUGGUUUGUUUUAACUGAUGCUUCGUGAGUACCCAGUAGUAAAACUCUAACCCUGGCAGGGGAUUUCAUCGAGAGAGCAACAGGCUGCGUUAGGGGAAGGCCUGGGUGUGUGACUAACAGUAUGGACGACAUAAUUGUUGCGUAUGAGCUUGACAGUUCAUGCCAGCUUUGCAAUAUCACCCAUAAACGUACUGUUUAUGCGUAACCACUGAUUCUAAGCCAUCAGAACAGCAGGCAGUGGGAUGCUGAUGUUGACUGUAGGAAGAGUCGAUACCAAAGGCUUUCACGUCUUACGAUGGCUGAAUGACUCUCAGGAAGUGUUUGAAAGCAAAGAGCAGCUCUAUAACACUCAGAAGACCAAAGAUUCACAUAUGUUGUGAUAUUUAUUUUAUGUAAAUUUAUUGAAGUCAUUGUAACUGCAAUGUGUCCCAUAAUUUCCUAUCUGUCUGUCUGUCUGUCUAUCUAUCGUUCUAUCUAUCUAUCUAUCUAUCUAUCUAUAUCGACUUCUGGGGCAUUUUGAAUAUAAAACAUUUAUAUUUAUUUAUACUCGUUAUUAAUUCUAUUACAAAUGUUAAAAACACAAAAACAGUUUUUUGUUCUCACGCAGUUUAUCAGUGUUCGAUCACGUUAAGUCCCUGGUUAAUGUUGUCAGUGUUCUUCCUCUUUUCUUUGGUUUUUAUGCGACAGACAUGAUGGAUUGUGCCAUCAAAAAAGCCCUGACAUUUUGAUGGUGGUCUGGAAAGGUCAACAUUGUUUCUUCAUUUAGAAGUCAAUAAGCACAGCACAGCACAGGAACACGCAGUAGCUGUUGUGUCAUCAUAUAUUAUGUUUUAUAUUCGCUGUAAUACACAUUUUUAAACUUGAUAUUAAUCAUAAAGUGCAAUAAAAUCAAUAAAGGUUUAUUUUUUGGUAUGUUUCUCAGAGUACUUCAUUAAAUUCACUGCAAGAUAGCAAAUACAAAUACAAAUGUGUUUUCUAUUUCAUACAACUGGGUAGCUGACAUAAAAUGCUUCUAGGAAAUGACAUGCUAUAUUCCCAUCAAAAACUUCUUUUUAAAAUAUUUGAAACAAUAUUUUGUUAAUUCUAUUAUCAUUUUAUAGAUGCAAUAACU
Molecule: long non-coding RNA, 1607 nt
Filed under: Sinocyclocheilus anshuiensis
Lineage: Eukaryota; Metazoa; Chordata; Actinopteri; Cypriniformes; Cyprinidae
Description: lncRNA (ENSSANG00000003523.1)
Source: RNAcentral